Molecule: unclassified non-coding RNA, 233 nt
Filed under: Capnodiales sp.
Lineage: Eukaryota; Fungi; Ascomycota; Dothideomycetes; Capnodiales
Description: partial contains 5.8S ribosomal RNA, internal transcribed spacer 2, and large subunit ribosomal RNA
Source: RNAcentral
CGCACAUUGCGCCCUUUGGUAUUCCGAGGGGCAUGCCCGUUCGAGCGUCAUUACACCAAUCAAGCGCCGCUUGGUAUUGGGUCCCGGGGGCGACCCGGACCUCAAAAUCGUCGGCUGGAAAUCUCCCAACGCAGCGUCGUGGCACAUCAAUUCGCUGGCGGGAGGAGCGUUCCACGCCGUGAAAUCCAUUCAAGGUUGACCUCGGAUCGGGUAGGGAUACCCGCUGAACUUAA